Molecule: long non-coding RNA, 602 nt
Organism: Hydra vulgaris (swiftwater hydra)
Lineage: Eukaryota; Metazoa; Cnidaria; Hydrozoa; Anthoathecata; Hydridae
Source: RefSeq, a predicted model, not a curated record
UUAAUCUUUUUAUUUUGAAAAGGUCAACUAGCAAAAUAAAAUAAGGACUCAGAGUCGGAGAAAGAAAAAUUAGUAAAAUUACAAAUCAAAUUGUCAAAAACAAUUCAAGAAGAAGCCAGUAAUCUUCAUGUUAAUUUUAAAUGCAAACUGGAGGAUUACUAUGUAAUUACCGGUUAACGUUUGUCAGACAAUGUAAUUAGUAGACUCGCUGAAAACACAAGCGCCUUAUUAAUUAUUGAUAAACUUGUUACAAAACUAAAAACUAAUCAAAUUCAAAUAAGGGCACACAAAAAAGAACAUUACAAUUAUUAAGGAUAACGUCCUGGGUAAAUCGAAGAAAAAAAAGAGUAAAUUACGAAAAAACCGUUGAACAGAUAGAAGAAAUUAAAAAGUCAUUGAAAAAAAAAGAAAAAGGAAGAAAUACCUUUUUGUGAUAAUGACGACCGCUGAUUUACAUCUUUAGAAAAGGAGGCGUCAGAGGACGAAGCGACGAUUUGUAUUGAACAAGACGAAGAAGACGAUUUAAUUUUGAAAUAAUAAAAUAGUAUAUUUUUAAGCUUUUUUUUAUUAUUUUUUAUCUAAUAUAUCAAACUGUAUCUGUA